RNAcentral lists this ribosomal RNA (465 nucleotides) under Vreelandella stevensii. RNAcentral's name for it is "partial 16S ribosomal RNA". It matches the Rfam family "Bacterial small subunit ribosomal RNA", at positions 338 to 795 of the family's 1533-position model. Lineage: Bacteria; Pseudomonadati; Pseudomonadota; Gammaproteobacteria; Oceanospirillales; Halomonadaceae. The record is from RNAcentral.
CCUACGGGAGGCUGCAGUGGGGAAUAUUGGACAAUGGGGGGAACCCUGAUCCAGCCAUGCCGCGUGUGUGAAGAAGGCCCUCGGGUUGUAAAGCACUUUCAGUGAGGAAGAACGCCUGGUGGUUAAUACCCAUCAGGAAAGACAUCACUCACAGAAGAAGCACCGGCUAACUCCGUGCCAGCAGCCGCGGUAAUACGGAGGGUGCGAGCGUUAAUCGGAAUUACUGGGCGUAAAGCGCGCGUAGGUGGCUUGAUAAGCCGGUUGUGAAAGCCCCGGGCUCGACCUGGGAACGGCAUCCGGAACUGUCAAGCUAGAGUGAAGGAGAGGAAGGUAGAAUUCCCGGUGUAGCGGUGAAAUGCGUAGAGAUCGGGAGGAAUACCAGUGGCGAAGGCGGCCUUCUGGACUGACACUGACACUGAGGUGCGAAAGCGUGGGUAGCAAACAGGAUUAGAUACCCUGGUAGUC